AAGCACCUGCGAUGGGUUGCAUCGUCAACUGUGACAGCAGGAUUGGUAUAAGUAACCCUCAAGCGCUUCACCACACCACGAUCGCAGAGUCCAGAUAUUCACAAAAUAAAGCAUACCAAGUACCAACACUGAUGCAAAGGAACUUAAUGCAUGUAUGACAAGGCCAAAGUGAAGGAA
Long non-coding RNA from Abrus precatorius (Indian licorice), 177 nucleotides. RefSeq lists it as uncharacterized. The record is from RefSeq and is a predicted model, not a curated record. The transcript is spliced from 2 exons. NCBI's taxonomy places the organism in Eukaryota, Viridiplantae, Streptophyta, Magnoliopsida, Fabales, Fabaceae.